GAUGAACGCUGGCGGCGUGCUUAACACAUGCAAGUCGAACGGUGAAGGAGGAGCUUGCUCUUCUGGAUCAGUGGCGAACGGGUGAGUAACACGUGAGCAAUCUGCCCUUGACUCUGGGAUAACAGUUGGAAACAGCUGCUAAUACCGGAUACGAGACGUGACCGCAUGGUCAACGUUUGGAAAGAACUUCGGUCAAGGAUGAGCUCACGGCCUAUCAGCUAGUUGGUGAGGUAAUGGCUCACCAAGGCGACGACGGGUAGCCGGCCUGAGAGGGUGACCGGCCACACUGGGACUGAGACACGGCCCAGACUCCUACGGGAGGCAGCAGUGGGGAAUAUUGCACAAUGGGCGAAAGCCUGAUGCAGCAACGCCGCGUGAGGGACGACGGCCUCGGUUGUAA
Molecule: ribosomal RNA, 400 nt
Filed under: uncultured bacterium
Lineage: Bacteria
Description: bacterial SSU rRNA
Rfam family: Bacterial small subunit ribosomal RNA
Source: RNAcentral